GUCCCUUCGGGAACAUCCACUAAAAUUGGAACAUACAGAGAAGAUUAGCAUGCCACUGAACAAGCAUGACAUGCACAAAUCAAGAAAUGGUCCAAAGAAGA
RNAcentral lists this small nuclear RNA (101 nucleotides) under Nicotiana sylvestris (wood tobacco). RNAcentral also lists the same sequence under 1 other name. Lineage: Eukaryota; Viridiplantae; Streptophyta; Magnoliopsida; Solanales; Solanaceae. The record is from RNAcentral.